GUCCACGCCGUAAACGAUGGGAACUAGGUGCUUGGGGGAGCGACCCCCCGAGUGCCGGCGCUAACGCAUUAAGUUCCCCGCCUGGGGAGUACGGCCGCAAGGCUGAAACUCAAAGGAAUUGACGGGGGCCCGCACAAGCGGUGGAGCAUGUGGUUUAAUUCGACGCAACGCGAAGAACCUUACCUAGGCUUGACAUGUACGGGAAAGCCUCUGGAAACAGGGGCCCCUCUUCGGAGCUCGUGCACAGGUGCUGCAUGGCUGUCGU
Molecule: ribosomal RNA, 265 nt
Filed under: uncultured bacterium
Lineage: Bacteria
Description: partial 16S ribosomal RNA
Rfam family: Bacterial small subunit ribosomal RNA
Source: RNAcentral